UGCAAGUCGAGCGGAAAGGCCCUUCGGGGUACUCGAGCGGCGAACGGGUGAGUAACACGUGAGCAACCUGCCCCUGACUCUGGGAUAAGCCCGGGAAACUGGGUCUAAUACCGGAUAUGACCGCCCCUGGCAUCGGGUGGUGGUGGAAAGUUUUUCGGUUGGGGAUGGGCUCGCGGCCUAUCAGCUUGUUGGUGGGGUAGUGGCCUACCAAGGCGACGACGGGUAGCCGGCCUGAGAGGGCGACCGGCCACACUGGGACUGAGACACGGCCCAGACUCCUACGGGAGGCAGCAGUGGGGAAUAUUGCGCAAUGGGCGGAAGCCUGACGCAGCGACGCCGCGUGGGGGAUGACGGCCUUCGGGUUGUAAACCUCUUUCAGCAGGGACGAAGUUGACGUGUACCUGCAGAAGAAGCGCCGGCUAACUACGUGCCAGCAGCCGCGGUAAUACGUAGGGCGCAAGCGUUGUCCGGAAUUAUUGGGCGUAAAGAGCUCGUAGGUGGCUGGUCGCGUCUGCCGUGAAAGCCCGCAGCUUAACUGCGGGUCUGCGGUGGAUACGGGCCGGCUAGAGGUAGGUAGGGGCAAGUGGAAUUCCUGGUGUAGCGGUGAAAUGCGCAGAUAUCAGGAGGAACACCUGUGGCGAAUGCGGCUUGCUGGGCCUUACCUGACGCUGAGGAGCGAAA
This 681-nucleotide ribosomal RNA is filed under the name Nonomuraea sp. S07-14. RNAcentral's name for it is "bacterial SSU rRNA". It matches the Rfam family "Bacterial small subunit ribosomal RNA", at positions 56 to 758 of the family's 1533-position model. Lineage: Bacteria; Bacillati; Actinomycetota; Actinomycetes; Streptosporangiales; Streptosporangiaceae. The record is from RNAcentral.